RNA transcript from Nicotiana attenuata, 2169 nucleotides. It is a transcript of the gene named RNA-binding protein 24-B, with no coding region annotated. The record is from RefSeq and is a predicted model, not a curated record. Lineage: Eukaryota; Viridiplantae; Streptophyta; Magnoliopsida; Solanales; Solanaceae. The transcript has 8 exons.
CCGUUAAGGAGAGAAAUCCAUUUGGUUUUCACAGUGCAAUUAAAAACGAUGAUGAUUGAGUCACUUGUUUCUCCUUCUAUUUCUACUGUUAUGCUCUGUUUUUCUCUCUCUCCAUCAUUUCUCACCAAUUCCAAUCCCAAUUCUUCAAAAUCAAAUCCAAAUUCCUUUCUUUUACUGUUCCACUUCUUAGGAUCCGCCAUGAAUGCUUAUUAGCCUCAGUUAUUUUCCUUACUUUUUCGCUCUCUCCUUUUUUAACUUGUCGUGCUCUUCUUUGUAUGAUGAUGACCCAGCUUCUUCACCUUUUUACCCCACCCACCCCCUCUUCUUCUCCUUCUUACUCUGCUCUCUUGUACAGCUGAUCCACCCUCCCCCUCUUAAAAACCCCACCUUGACCCUCCUUCUACCUUUUGACCUACUAAUCUCUCUCUUUUUUAGUUCUAGGGUUUCCUUUUUCUUCUUGAUCCUUUGUUUUCUCUUCCUCUCCUCCUCCUCCUCCUCUUUAGCUCUCGCUUCAAACCACCCUUCUCUUCUUUUUGUAUAUUCCUGUAGAUUUUCUCUAUCUUUUCUGCCAAUUUUUAGGGGGUUAUUUUCUGUUUAUAAUGAGGUGGGGUUUUUACUUGAUCAACUUUUGUAUAACGUGAAUAGCUUCUUGUUUCUGGUCUAAAAGUAAUUUUCCCUUAGUUCUUCUUCUCUUCGUUUUUCCAAUCAAAUUUGGGUUUAUGGCUUAUCAACAACAGCAGGGAGCAGUUGGGGGUUCAGGUUCUGCUCCAUUUUAUAAUUCUCCAUUUGGGGACACUACUUUUACUAAGGUCUUUGUUGGAGGCCUUGCUUGGGAAACUCAGAGUGAAACCCUCAGGCGAUACUUUGAGCAGUUUGGUGAUAUCCUUGAGGCUGUUGUCAUCACUGAUAAAAAUACUGCCCGAUCCAAAGGCUAUGGCUUUGUGACUUUCCUGGACCCAGAGUCCGCGAGGAGAGCUUGUGCUGAUCCUGCUCCAAUUAUCGAUGGGAGGCGAGCAAAUUGUAAUUUGGCUUCGUUAGGGCGACCUCGGCCUACUGUGCCAUUUGGACGUCUGAGGUCAUCAACUCCAUUUCCAUCAGGUCUACCAGCUGCUCGGGGUGCUUAUGUUGGAAGCUUUGGCUACCAGCAACCGGUUUCUUAUGGCUACCAGCAAGGCUUGAUGUAUUCUCCCUAUGGGUAUGCAACAUAUGGUGCGGAUUACGUUUACCCUCAGGGUGUUUACAAUCCUUAUGGAGGUCAACAGUACCUUCCUAUAUAUGGUGUACCUGGAAGUGUUAACACAACAAUGUAUCCUUACGGCCAGCUAAGUCAGGCUGUUCCUGGAAGUCACAGUUAUACAACAUUGCAGGGUUAUGCAGUGCCAGGUCAUCAGAUUCUUCAGUUUGGCGGGCCUAGUGUCAAUGCAAUGACAGCUUCAUCCAUUCCAACUAUUCAAGCACCAUACCCAGCAGGUGUCGGAGCGCCUGUUACUCCACAGCCACAGUUUAUACUACCUACUCAUUCUCCUCAAUUUAUGCAAGGUAGCGGUUCUGACCACAAUGCAGGGUGAUAUUUUAUCAAGGUAUCCUAGAUUGCAGCAGGACUAAAAGAAGCAGUACUGCAGUACUGCUACUUGAGAGGCGGGCUUUCAAUCUAACCUUGCAAAUGUUCACUACUUCACUUUGCAUUCUAGAGGUUAUAAAAAAGUCAAAGUCAAUACUCACCAUGAGAGCUCAAUGUCUGAGUCGCUCCUGAUGAUUGAGUGAGGAAACAUGGAAGUUGCGGAUUGCACUUCCUUCAACAUCAUCAUCUUAUUGUACUUGCAUUCUGCCGGUGUUGGGAUAACUGGCAGAGAGUCAGUCGACGUCAUGCAUUUGAGGGAUGCUGGAAUAGGUUUCUGGCUCCCUCCCUGUAGCAAUAAAUAAACACUGUAAAAAUUCACAUCAGAAUCAACAUAUGAUUCUUUCAUAGUCAAAACUCCCCAGCAUGUUUGGGUGUGUAGAUAGUCUUGAGUGUUGGUGCAUCAUGCGCACUGUGUUUAAUAGUAUUCUCAAAGUCUUGUGCAUAAAACAAUCUCGAGUCUUUUAAUUGACAUUCAUUCUGUAAUUUGGAUUAUUUAUUGAGAGCUCAGCUCUGAAGUAAGUAGCUUCAGGAUCUCAAGGCCACGGGAA